Non-coding RNA from Mus caroli (Ryukyu mouse), 2475 nucleotides. NCBI's taxonomy places the organism in Eukaryota, Metazoa, Chordata, Mammalia, Rodentia, Muridae. The record is from RefSeq and is a predicted model, not a curated record.
GUUUGGGUAGGGAGGAAUGGGGAACUCGAGUGGGUCAGGGGGUCUAAGGACGAGGGCAGGCUGCAAUGUCUGUGGAGAAAGCGCUUCCGUUCCAGUUUUCACACCCGAGUCAGAAAGUACGGAGUAAGCAGCUUAAGGAGCCGCGGGGACGCAAUAAGGCCCGGAUACCCCGCGCCCGUAUUCUUCGGGGGGACCAAAGGAAAUCGCCACCGAAGUCACACUGCAAGAAGGCGCAAGUGAGAGAGAAAGAGAAGGUGUGGGUACCCUGGAAUGGACUCAUCGUGAUUGGGAAGAGAGUGGAACUCUUGGACAGAAACGUGCAAAAGUCUAACCCAAAGUUGGAAUCUGAGGACUGGAAGCUGGAGGGCACCGGGAAGAAGUUCUCAAGAGAGAAAUCGGGCCUGCAACAGGAGACGUUGGUCGCGAAGCUCCUGAGCAGUGUAAGAAGGGAGAUGCAGGCUCGAGCAGGUUUGGAGUAUGACAGCCCAGAGAUUUGGAGAGAGUUGGAGAAUAGACUCAAAGCUGGUGUAACUACGAGUUCAGAGAUGACUGCAGAGCGUGGGGAAAACUUGAAAUCUAGGGAUAGGUUGAGGCCCACUGGAGGGGACUUGAGGUCCAGAGGGGAUCAGCUGAGGCCGAAUGAGGAACUGGAGUCUAGUGGAGAGAACUUGAAAAAACGGGUACCCAUUGGAGACAAGGUGGUAGGCAGGGGAGAGAAGCGGAGGUCUUCUGCUGAAAAAAUGGACAGUAGGGAGAGGCGGGGGUCUGUUGUAGAGAAAAUGGACAGUAGAGAGAGGCGGGGGUCCAUCAGAGAGAAGACGUUGGACAGUGAAGAGAAGCGGGGAUCCAUUAGAGAGAAGGCGACAGAGAGUAGACAGAGGCGGGAGUCCAUCAGAGAGAAGGUGUCAGACAGUGGAGAGAGGCGAGGAUCCAUCAGAGACAAGAUUUCGGACACUAGAGAGAGGCGGGGGUCCAUCAAAGAGAAGGUGUCAGACAGUGGAGAGAGGCGGGGAUCCAUCAGAGAGAAGGUGUCAGACAGUGGAGAGAGGCGGGGGUCCAUCAGAGAGAAGGCAAAGUUGAGUAAAGAGAAAUUUAGAUCCAGUGGAGAGAAGCUGAGAACCGGUGAUAAAAAUUCAAGAUCCACUGAAGAUCUACUGGAGUCAAAUAUUGAAGAGUCGGAGUCGGCUGAGGUGAAGCUGAAAGAGCACUCAAGAACAGGAAGUGCCACGGAAGAGACUAUUGAAGGAGUGGUCAGUGUUACUGAUGGCGAAGGUGUGAUGGAAAAUCUGAGUCAGGAAAUUCCUUCUGAAAGUGUAGAAGGGAUGGAUGGCCACGGAGGAGCCGAGACAGAGGCAGAAACUGAUAGUCAUGUCUUGGAGGGAAUGAGAGAGAUUGCUGAUGCAUCUGCUCCUGAGGAAGAGGAAGACAUACUUGGAGAAAGCCCCAAGGAGUCAGGUGGAUGAAAAAUUGAAAGUGAAAAAGGAGAUUGGAGUAUCUCAAGUAAAGGAGAAGCUGGAGCCAAGGAUUUUGUUUGUCUUGAAAGAGUGAAUAUGAAUGAGGAGUGUGGACCUCAAGGGAGCAUGGGAAAGGAGCAUGGGAGCCCCUGGGCAUGGAGGCCAAGCCAGCAGUGGACGUGAAGAAUGGCAAAGAGGACAAUGGAAACAUUUUAAGGAGAAAGAAACAACGUGGGGGCGAAUGCUAAGAAGGACACUGUUUCCUGCUUGAAGAACAGUUUGAGAAAUGGGUCAAGGGUGGCUGGAUUUUGACAGACGUGUACAUGGUCAGGGGUAGGAGAUGUAGGAGAAGGUCAGACACAGAUUAUAGCAGGAUAAAAGUUUGGCACUGAGGGCCGUGGGAGAAGCAGCAAAGAAGGAAAUGACGGAAGCAGGGAGAAACCAGGGGAGAAGAGAACUGGAGUAAAAGGUGAAGGAAAUGAGAAGCCAUGCCACAGCUUGCCUCAGUGCUUAGGCCCAUGUCUACCUGACACCAUCAUUUGAAGAUUCCUCUGGUGAGUCUGUGAGCUGAGGUGUUGUCAUCUCUUUACAAGACACCUUCCUAGGCACAGGGCGAAGACUUAGCAUUUGCCCUUGUGUGGGAAAUGCCCUGCACUUCAGGAAGUAUGGAUUCUGAUGAAUUGCCAGGUUUCUGUUCCUUGGCUGCAUGACUCACCUGAGAUAUCAGAUGUAUUCCACCAGAACCCAGCCAGACACCAGAGAAGAGCAAGCUACCAUGCCAAAUGCCAAAUGCUACCCGCCACCCGCCACCCCCGCCACCCGCCUCCCGCCUCGUAAAUGCAGAGGCGUGGGAUUGCCUAGAUAGCUAGAAGGUUGGUUUGUUGAGUUUAUUGUUUCACUAUGUAGCUCAGGCUGUCCUGGAACUCACAUGUAGACCAGGCUGGUUCUGAACUCACAGAGAUCCAUCCCCUUGCUUCUGCCUCCAACAUGCUGAAUUAAAAAGUGUACAUUCUCCACCCAA